This 264-nucleotide ribosomal RNA is filed under the name uncultured bacterium. Its description in RNAcentral is "partial 16S ribosomal RNA". It matches the Rfam family "Bacterial small subunit ribosomal RNA", at positions 793 to 1055 of the family's 1533-position model. The record is from RNAcentral.
GUCCACGCUGUAAACGAUGAAUACUAGGUGUAGGAGGUAUCGACCCCUUCUGUGCCGCAGUUAACACAAUAAGUAUUCCACCUGGGGAGUACGGCCGCAAGGUUGAAACUCAAAGGAAUUGACGGGGGCCCGCACAAGCAGUGGAGUAUGUGGUUUAAUUCGAAGCAACGCGAAGAACCUUACCAGGGCUUGACAUACCAUUGACCGUACUAGAGAUAGUACUUUCCUUCGGGACAAUGGAUACAGGUGGUGCAUGGUUGUCGU